This 71-nucleotide transfer RNA is filed under the name Agrilus planipennis (emerald ash borer). It matches the Rfam family "tRNA". Rfam says of the family: Transfer RNA (tRNA) molecules are approximately 80 nucleotides in length. Their secondary structure includes four short double-helical elements and three loops (D, anti-codon, and T loops). Further hydrogen bonds mediate the characteristic L-shaped molecular structure. tRNAs have two regions of fundamental functional importance: the anti-codon, which is responsible for specific mRNA codon recognition, and the 3' end, to which the tRNAs corresponding amino acid is attached (by aminoacyl-tRNA synthetases). tRNAs cope with the degeneracy of the genetic code in two manners: having more than one tRNA (with a specific anti-codon) for a particular amino acid; and 'wobble' base-pairing, i.e. permitting non-standard base-pairing at the 3rd anti-codon position. Lineage: Eukaryota; Metazoa; Arthropoda; Insecta; Coleoptera; Buprestidae. The record is from Rfam by way of RNAcentral.
CCUCUCGUAGCUUAGCGCCAGAGCUAUGGUGUGUAAAAUCAGAGACCCGGGUUCGAUUCUCGGCGAGGGCG